Molecule: non-coding RNA, 204 nt
Organism: Tinamus guttatus (white-throated tinamou)
Lineage: Eukaryota; Metazoa; Chordata; Aves; Tinamiformes; Tinamidae
Source: RefSeq, a predicted model, not a curated record
GAUGCCCACCGACGUGGUGGACCUGCUCGUGGAGGUUAUGGACAUCAUCAUGUACUGCCUGGAAGGAUCCCUGGUGAAGAAGAAGGGUCUUCAGGAGUGCUUCCCAGCCAUCUGCAGGUUCUACAUGGUCAGCUACUACGAGCGGAGCCACCGCAUCGCGGUCGGCGCUCGCCACGGCUCCGUGGCCCUCUACGACAUCCGCAC